CCUACGGGGGGCAGCAGUGGGGAAUAUUGCGCAAUGGGCGAAAGCCUGACGCAGCGACGCCGCGUGAGGGAUGAAGGUCUUCGGAUCGUAAACCUCUGUCAGCCGGGAAGCACGGUCACUGUGCUAAUCAGCAGUGAAUUGACGGUACCUGCAAAGGAAGCACCGGCUAACUCCGUGCCAGCAGCCGCGGUAAUACGGAGGGUGCGAGCGGUAAUCGGAAUUACUGGGCGUAAAGCGCUCGUAGGCGGUAUGUCAAGUCAAGGGGGAAAUCCCCGCGCUCAACGUGGGAACUGCCUUUGAAACUGGCAAACUGGAGUGUGUGAGAGGAUAGUGGAAUUCGAGGUGUAGGAGUGAAAUCCGUAGAUAUCUGGAGGAACAUCAGUGGCGAAGGCGACUAUCUGGCACAUAACUGACGCUGAGGAGCGAAAGCGUGGGUAGCAAACAGGAUUAGAUACCCUUGUAGUC
This 465-nucleotide ribosomal RNA is filed under the name uncultured bacterium. RNAcentral describes it as "partial 16S ribosomal RNA". It matches the Rfam family "Bacterial small subunit ribosomal RNA", at positions 338 to 795 of the family's 1533-position model. The record is from RNAcentral.